RNAcentral lists this long non-coding RNA (452 nucleotides) under Heterocephalus glaber (naked mole-rat). Its description in RNAcentral is "lncRNA (ENSHGLG00000038520.1)". The record is from RNAcentral. Lineage: Eukaryota; Metazoa; Chordata; Mammalia; Rodentia; Bathyergidae.
GGACGCGAGGCGGGCGCUCCGCAAGGCUCCUCGCCUGCGGCCGCUGCUCCCGCCGGCGCCUGGGCUGCGGCGCUCCGGCCCUGGCCCCGUGGCGUCCCGCGCACCUCCAGCCCGGCGCCCAGGCCAGAUCCCUGCCGUGCCCAGGACGCCCUCCGCCUCUGAUCGCCCGGCUUGCGCCCCGGGCCACGGAGGCCGAGCAGCAGUCGCGGCGGAGGAUGCCCCGGCGAGCCUGAGUCCGGACCCGAAGAUGCAGCCGGCGCGGGGCGCUGCAGUCGCGGCUCCUGGCGCAGCCCCGACCAGCAGGUGGUCCUGGCAUCUGCGUGGGUUGGCCCUGAGCAGUACCUCUCCGUCCCCUGCUGGGCAUCGACAUCCAUUUCUUCCCACAGAGACUUUAUUUUGGAUCGUGCUGGGCUGGCACCGAGCUAGGCAGUCCUGGCUCUUGUUCAGACCUG